AGUGAACGCUGGCGGUAGGCCUAACACAUGCAAGUCGAACGGCAGCACAGUAAGAUCUUGCUCUUACGGGUGGCGGGUGGCGGACGGGUGAGGAAUACAUCGGAAUCUACUUUUUCGGGGGGGAUAACGUAGGGAAACUUCCGCUAAUACCGCAUACUACCUACGGGUGAAAGCAGGGGUUCUUCGGACCUUGCGCGAUUGAAUUAGCCGAUGUCGGAUUAGCUAGUUGGCGGGGUAAAGGCCCACCAAGGCGACGAUCCGUAGCUGGUCUGAGAGGAUGAUCAGCCACACUGGAACUGAGACACGGUCCAGACUCCUACGGGAGGCAGCAGUGGGGAAUAUUGGACAAUGGGCGCAAGCCUGAUCCAGCCAUACCGCGUGGGUGAAGAAGGCCUUCGGGUUGUAAAGCCCUUUUGUUGGGAAAGAAAAGCAGCAGGUUAAUACCCCGCUGUUCUGACGGUACCCAAAGAAUAAGCACCGGCUAACUUCGUG
RNAcentral lists this ribosomal RNA (492 nucleotides) under uncultured bacterium. RNAcentral describes it as "partial 16S ribosomal RNA". It matches the Rfam family "Bacterial small subunit ribosomal RNA", at positions 29 to 507 of the family's 1533-position model. The record is from RNAcentral.